CGGACGGGUGAGUAAUGUCGUGGGAAACUGCCUGAUGGAGGGGGAUAACUACUGGAAACGGUAGCUAAUACCGCAUAACGUCGCAAGACCAAAGAGGGGGACCUUAGGGCCUCUUGCCAUCGGAUGUGCCCAGAUGGGAUUAGCUAGUAGGUGGGGUAACGGCUCACCUAGGCGACGAUCCCUAGCUGGUCUGAGAGGAUGACCAGCCACACUGGAACUGAGACACGGUCCAG
This 233-nucleotide ribosomal RNA is filed under the name uncultured bacterium. RNAcentral's name for it is "partial 16S ribosomal RNA". It matches the Rfam family "Bacterial small subunit ribosomal RNA", at positions 99 to 334 of the family's 1533-position model. The record is from RNAcentral.